This 432-nucleotide ribosomal RNA is filed under the name uncultured bacterium. RNAcentral's name for it is "partial 16S ribosomal RNA". It matches the Rfam family "Bacterial small subunit ribosomal RNA", at positions 29 to 506 of the family's 1533-position model. The record is from RNAcentral.
AACGAACGCUGGCGGCAUGCCUAACACAUGCAAGUCGAACGACACCUCCGUAUCUACUUGCGCACGGGUGCGUAACGCGUGGGAACGUGCCCUUAUGUUCCGAAUAACUCCCCUUAAUGGGUGCUAAUACCGGAAAAUUUCUGCUGAUAAAAGAUAUAUCGUCUUUGGAGAGGCCCGCGUUGGUUUAGCUUGUUGGUAGGGUAAAAGCCUACCAAGGAGAAGAUCCAUAGCUGGGUGGAGAGGAUGAUCAGCCACACUGCGACUGGGACCAGGCCCAGACUCCGACGGAAGGGAGCAGUGGGGAAGAAUGGACAAUGGGCGAGAGCAGAAUGCAGCCAGGCCGUGAGGGUGAUGAAGGGCUUAGGAUAGUAAAGAUCUUUUACCCGGGAUGAUAAGGACGGAACCGGAGGAAUAGGCCCCGGCAAACUCGGG